Xyrichtys novacula (pearly razorfish) is the source of this 7180-nucleotide non-coding RNA. The record is from the annotation of a GenBank genome assembly. NCBI's taxonomy places the organism in Eukaryota, Metazoa, Chordata, Actinopteri, Labriformes, Labridae.
UCAGAUAGUUACUUUAUUUCUCCCCAGUGCUAAAUUCAAGUUUCCACACAAUCACUGACAACACUGUGUUUUAAUCCUAAGAACAGAUGAGCAAAGAACUGCUUGAAUAACUGCUGUGACUUAUUUAAGUCAAACUCCUAACUCUUCAAUUAUGAUCUUGUUUCGUCAUUGAACCCUGUGCUGUUGCACAUUUGAUAUGAGUAAGUUGUAUACUGCAUUGUUGUCGGUCUCAUUUCUUACAACGCAUACACACAGGGGCCCUCAUUUAUCAAGAACUGAGCGCAGGAUUCAUCGUGCGAUAGGACCCACGUGAGAUUUAUGAAAGGGUUCGUAUCUGACCAAUCCCAGCGUACGUAUGAUCGGGUCUUGAUAAAUGCGGCAGCUGAAAUCGAUCGUCAUCAACAUGUUUAUGCCCUUAAAUAUUCGUGGUUCAGAAGCCUCGCCCACAGAGGUCAAACAUGCAUUCUUUCAAGCUCUGUCAGGGUUACCUAGACAAAAAAGAAGAGGAAGGUUUUCUUCAAAAAAUGGGUUGGCCCCCUCAGCCUCCAGACCUCUCUCCAAUUGAGCUUGUGUGGGAUGAAUUGGAUCGAUCAAUCAGAAAAGGGCGUCCCACAAAUCGGCAGUCUCUUAUUGAUGAACUUAAGAAAGCUUGGAAUGCAAUUCCUGCUACAAACCUUAAAAAAAACUUGUGGAACAAAUGCCUCUUAUAUGCCAUGCUGUUGUUAAAGCCAGAGGAGGUUACUUUAGGGAAAGCAAAGUCUAAUCAAGAAAAACUUAAAUACCUGAUAAUUAUAGUCAAAAUGUUUUCUGAUAAGUUUUUCUUUAGAUAAUUAUCAGUUGCAAAGUAUUAUGAUCUUGUACAAAUUUGAUCUUGCUUCCAAACAAUUUACAAAACUCUCAAUGGGAGACAAGUACAAUUCAGAUGUACAUCUUACUUUUACAGAACAACAGUGAUAAUAUACAUGAGAGCAACAUAAUGUAGAAAAGAAAAAAAAAACUUACAGCAAGGCCUGCCUUUGGAAUUCAUACAAACAGCAAAUGUAAAUAUUAGAUAGUUAAUAUUUCAUUAAAUUUCAACAGUAGGUAUUUAGAGACAUCAUCACAUAGGUUUUCUAGCUCUGGACUAGAGUCUUAAAUUCGUGACAAGGCAGCAAAAUAAGAUUUAAGUUCUGUUCUAAACAAUGCAAGGGAUAGAUUUUUAGUUUGCCUUUUACCUUUAUGGAUGUGGCAUUUACCCAUAAUUAUUAUAUUGCAAAUUCUGAAAAAUUUGUUUGCCAUGUUAUAAUUUCCAUGUGCAACUUUAUCCAUUAAAAUUUUCAACCAGUUUACUAAAUCAUGCCAAAAGUUCUUUUUUUAUUUUAAUUUUUUUUAUUUAACAAAAAAACAGAGUGACAACAACAACAAAAUUGAACAAAAAUACUUUUGUGAGGGAGGGGAGGGGGAAAUACUAUAUACAAUAGAGAAUAAAAAAACUCUUAAUUAGAUUACAUUGAAAUAUAUAUAAUAAUAACUAUAUAUACAUACAUACACACAUAUAUAUAAAUAUACAUACAUAUACAUAUACAGUGCAUCUGGAAAAUACUCAUACCACUUUUGUUAUGUUACAGCCUUAUUCCAAAAUGGAUUAAAUUUCUUUUUUCCCUCAAAAAUUCCACACAAAAUACCCCAUAAUGUCUAAGUGAAAAACUUUUUUUUUAGAACAUUUCGCAAAUUUGUUGAACAUAAGACACCCAAAUGUUGCAUAUACAUAGGUAUUCACAUCCUUUGUUAAAAAACCCAAAAAUUGAGCUCAGGUGCAUCCUGUUUCCACUGAUCAGCCUUGAAAUGUUCCUUCAACUUGAUUGCAGUCCACCUGUUGCAAAUUCAGCUGAUUGGACAUGAUUUGGAAAGCCACACCUGUCUAUAUAAGAUCCCACAGCUGACAGAGCACGUCGGAGCACAAACCAAGCCAUGAAGUCGAAUGAAUUGUCUGUAAACCUCCGAAACAGGGUUGUAUCAGCGCACAGAUCUGGGGAAGGUUACAGAAAAAUAUCUGCUGUUGAAGAUCCUAAAAAGCACAGUGGUCUCCAUCAUUAAGAAAUGGAAGACGUUUGGAACCACCAGGACUCUUCCUAGAGCUGGCCGCCCAGCCAAAAUGAGCAAGCGGGGGAGAAGGGCCUUGGUCAGGGAGGUGACCAAGAACCCGAUGGUCACUCUGACAGAGCUCCAGCGUUCCUCUGAGGAUAUGGGGGAACCCUACAGAAGGACCACCAUCUCUGCAGCACUCCGCCAGUCAGGCAUUUAUGGAAGAGUGGCCAGACGGAAGCCACUCCUCAGUAAAAAGCACAUGACAGCCCACUUGGACUUUGCUAGAAGGCACCUGAAGGACUCACAGACCAGGAGAAACAAAAUUCUCUCGUCUGAUGAAAUGAAGAUCGAACUCUUUGGCCUGAAUGCCAAGCGUCAUGUCUGGAGAAAACCAGGCACCGCUCACCACCUCGCCAAUACCAUCCCUACAGUGAAGCAUGGUGGUGACAGCAUCAUGCUGUGGGGAUGUUUUUCAGCGGCAGGAACUGGGAGACUUGUCAGGAUCAAGGGGAAAAUGAAUGCAGCUAAGUACAUUGAAAUCCUUGAUGAAAACCUGCUCCAGAGCGCUCGAGACCUUCAGCUGAGGCGACGCUUCAUCUUCCAGCAUGACAAUGACCCUAAGCACACGGCCAAGAAGACAAAGGAGUGGCUUCAGGACAAGUCUCUGAAUGUCCUUGAGCGGCCCAGCCAGAGCCCAGACUUGAACCCGAUUAACAUCUUUGGAAAGACCUGGAAGUAAUUGUGCACCGACAUUGCCCAUCCAACCUCACUGAGCUUGAGAGGAUGUGCGAGGAAGAAUGGGGAAAAACUCCCCAAAUCCAGGUGUGCCAAGCUUGUUGCAUCAUACACAAGAAGACUGGAGGCUGUAAUCGUUGCCAAAGGUACUUCGACCAAGUAUUUAGUAAAGGGUGUGAAUACUUGUGUAUUUGAGUGUCUUAUUUUUAAUAAAUUUGCAAAAUGUUCUACAAAAGGUUUUUCGCUUUGUCAUUAUGGGGUAUUUUGUGUAGAAUGUUUGAGGGAAAAAGGGAAUUUAAUCCAUUUUGGAAUAAGGCUGUAGCAUAACAAAAUGUGGAAAAGGUGAAGUGGUAUGAAUACUUUCUGGAUGCACUAUACACACACAUACACACACACAUACAAUCCCCCCGAACCACCGACACAACAGCGACGAUACAACAACCACAACAGCAUCACUGAUAACAACAAUAGCAAUACCGGCAAUAAUGACAAUAAACGAAUGACAAAGACGACGACAACAAAAAUAAUAACAGUAAUAAUGACCACGACGAGGAUACAAAGCAACAAAAAUCACUACAAUAUACAACACCAUUGUCCGGACCAGAGGCCAGCCCGGCCCCCUGCACCGCCAAAAAGCAGGCCGACCAGUACCCACGUCCACCGUGGUGGGACGCCCGUGGGGCACCCCACAGGGCCCCGCCCCACGACCACCACAGUCGUUAAAGGUGAAACUGAGAUCUUGUUCCCAUUUAGCCCUAGAUUUCAGAGUCUUAUUUGCCAGAAAGUCCAGUAUUCUGCUGUAUAUCAGGGACACCAUGCCCUUAGGGCGUUGAAUGCCUUUCAUAUUGUUAUCAGUUACAGGAGAUUCUUGAGGGGUUGGGUGUCCUCCCUGUUAAGAGCAAAUAAAAUGCCUGACCUGCAGGUAUUUAAAGAAAUGUACAGCAGGAAGAUUGAAGGUAUCUUUUAACUGUUCAAAGAAUUUUAGAAUAUUAUUUUCACAGAGAAAAAGGUGCUGUACCACCUCUUAGUGAGACCAUCUCUAAGUACAGGUGGUAGUGCAGGAUUAUUAUGAAAGGGAGUGCUGCUAUGAAAUGGUUUCACACUAAGAAUACAUUGUUGUAUAACUGACCAUAGUUUGGAUGUAUGGUUGAUAAGUGGAUUAUCUGUGUCAUCCUUCAAAGUAUGGUUGGACUUAAUAAAGGGGAUACCAGCCAGUGGUACAUGAGCUGCAUAGAAUUGCUCUAUUUGCUUCCAAGCUGGAGGGUUGGGCAUGAAAAAGCCUUUGCUGUUGAAAUUCUCUUUCAAGAGGUACAGAAUAGCCUCAUUGUUUUUACAUGUAGGAUGUCUUGUUCUCGUAUUUAGAUAACUUUUUAGAUCUAAAAAGAAAUAAAAAAGUUGAUUACUUUUGGAUUUUGAUAGAUAUAUAAUUAGAAAAAGACAAACUGCACUACAGCAUGUAACUCUUAUUAUGACAGCAAGUUCCUGCACAGCUGUUAAACUGAAGCUGUCUUACGAAGAUCAAACAUUUCAUGGAUUGGCUGGGGCUUCAUAAGCCCUUCAAAUGCAUUUUUCCACCCAGUAUCUGCUUCGACUCACUAAUUCUGCAUAGUACAGCUUUGUCCAUUAUAAGAAGGAAGUUUGCUGUGGAGAGGCAUCAAUGAGCAUUUCUGUCAUUAUAAGGUAUAAUAAAAUUCAAUUCACUGUUUGCAUUGUUUACAGGUGAAGUGAGAUGUUCUCAAACCUCUACAGGGCUAUUAACCAAGGCCUAUAUUUAUACACUUUAAUGGCUUUAGCUGAAUAUACUUACUCCAUGUGACUGAGAUGUCAUCAGGAGACACGGCAUUAACUUUCACAGCUAUGCUGAUGAUACACAGCUCUACCUGGCCGUGUUUCCUGAUGACACAGGGCCCAUUGAUUUUUAGACAUUUUAGAUGUCCAGUCCUGGAUGGCAGACAACUUAUUGCAGUUCAACCAGGACAAAACCCAGGUUUCAGUCAUCGGUACAGGUCCAGAGAGAGAGAAACUGGAGAACAAACUCCGAGGACUGUCUUUUAAUCCCUCAAAAAAGUUACAAAUCUGGGUGUUAUAUUUGAUUUUAAUCUCAGCUUUGAAUCACACAUAUGUGAUAUCACCAAAAAGGCUUUUUAUCACCUUAAGAACAUCUCUAGAGUCCGCCAGCUUCUCUCUCAAGCCAAUGCAGAGACUCUUAUCCAUACUUUUAUUACCUGCAGAAUUGAUUAUUGCAAUGCUCUCCUCUCUGGUCUUCCUAAAAAGAACAUUUCACAGUUUCGUCUGCUGCAAAAUUCGGCUGCACGCAUGCUGACAAAGACCAGGAGGAGAGCCCACAUUACACCAAUUUUAAAGUCUCUGCAUUGGCUUCCUGUAUCUUUUAGAAUAGAUUUUAAGGUUCUUUUACUAGUUUAUAAAUGUCUUAAUGGUCUUGGUCCUCCUUAUUUAUCUGAUUUGCUGCUACGAUAUGAGCCCAGUAGAGCCCUCAGAUCUUCAGGUAGUGGUCUUUUAAUAGUCCCCAAAGUUAGAACCAAAACAUACGGUGAGGCAUUAUUAGUACCUACAGUUCAUAUUUUUAAAUGCAAACUCAAGACCUUCCUUUUUAGUCUGGCUUUUUAGCUGAUUUUUGUUUUAUUCUUCUAGCCUCUCUUUUAGUCUACUCUUUUUAUCUUGUGUAUUUUACUCCACUCUAGUCCCAGAAUUAUUAUUUUAUCUUUUAACACUAUUUGUUUAUUUUCUUUUAUUGUUUGAUUUAAAAACAGUUUUAUUAUAUGAUAUUCUAUUAUUAUAUUAUUAUAAUUACUCUUUUAUUUCAUUUUAUUUUCUAUCAUUUUAUGAGUUUCCUAUAUCUUGUCAUGGUUUUAUCAGUUUAGCUUCAGCUCCAGUGUUUCCCCAUUUUAGUUUAAGAUAGCGUUUCCUUGGUCCACUGGGGCUUCCUGCUGAGCCCUGACUUGGUGUCCAAGUGGUGUGUGUGUGUGUGUGUGUGUGUGUGUGUGUGUGUGUGUCUGUGUGUCUGUGGGUGGGUGGGUGGUGGGGUCUCUGUUAAAUGCGGGCUUAGAGGGUGGGUGGAUGGGUGGGUGGGGUUUUGCAAUUUGUAUUUUAUCUUGUAUUUUAUUUGGUAUCCCCUGACCCUGUCCUUCUUGUAUUCUUUAAUGUACAGCACUUUGUGAUACAGUCCAUGUAUGACAAGUGCUCUAUAAAUAAAAUGAUUGAUUGAUUGACUGCGCACUGAAUAUUACAGCUAUGAAAAUGCCAAUAGGCCACCAGAGGGUGAUGUUUACAAGCCAAUCACAGUGAUGUUAUAAGGAUAUUUUUCUUAUUUUUUAUCUACAAUGAUAACAAGGAUAUGAACAACAACAACUUUAGUUUUCUUCUUAAAUGGCAACUCUACUUACUGAAAGCAGUUGUAGGAAAUUCCUUUCAACCCAAAUUUCAGGAAGUUGUUUGAAAAUAAAAUUGCAUAUUGCACAUUUUACAUUUCAGAGACAGUUAACACAUGGCAUUAAAAUGAUAUUAUUUAUGAUGUCCUCAUUGUCUUUGAACAGGCAUGCAUUGGCAUACAGAUGUCUCCUUUGUACAAAGGAAUACUGGUUUUAGUUUUACAGAAUCUUGACUGGUUGGUCUCAAGCUGACCAGUUUUAAGGACAUCUAUGGCUUAAGGCAGUUACAAAUACCAAACAAUUAAGAAAAAAUUAAAACGAUUUUAAGUCCUUUUCAAUCAAGAAAAUUAAACUUCUUCACAUGAUGCCUCCAUGGCCUGUACUCUGCAGCUUGUCUGCACACAGUUAUUGCUAAUACAGCGGAAACACAUCCUCAGCACUUGAGGGGAACAGCCUCAUGGCCCCUCUGAAAAAUCAAAGUCUUCUUCACUGUGAAGAAGGAGAUGGUCUUGUUCCAGAGGUCAGAGCUAGAAGCCCCAGUGAGGAGUUGGCUGGCCAAUGCUGAGCGGAGCCUCACUGUCCUGUCUGUGCACUUUCUCUCCAAAAUCAUCACCUUGCACAUGCCAAGAAAGAGAAAGCAACAUCAGAUAUAGGCUGGAUAACAGCCAUGCAGAAACGUUUUCCUUUGAUUUAUAUAUUGCCACCAUGACUUAAAGUGGGUGAAUGGGGUUUAGUUCUUGUUUCUUUUCUUUCUCUUUUUUGUGCUAAAAAUGGCAUCAGACUUUAAACCUUUUUUUCCUGGUGCAAUAUUUCAUAACCAAAAUAUUUUACAAAAAGAAACCAAAACAUCAGCCUAAGCCCACACUGCGGCUUUGCCCAGAUAAGCUUACGUUGUGUACCCUCAUGGUGAAUAUGCAGUCAAAUAAGGUCCAGUCAGUCCAGGAGGCCUGUUUCAAGUACUAAGUGUCCAAGAUUGUAAUUUUACCCAC